This 254-nucleotide ribosomal RNA is filed under the name uncultured bacterium. RNAcentral describes it as "partial 16S ribosomal RNA". It matches the Rfam family "Bacterial small subunit ribosomal RNA", at positions 524 to 776 of the family's 1533-position model. The record is from RNAcentral.
UACGUAGGGUGCAAGCGUUGUCCGGAAUUAUUGGGCGUAAAGAGCUCGUAGGCGGUUUGUCGCGUCGAUCGUGAAAACUUGGGGCUUAACCCUGAGCUUGCGGUCGAUACGGGCAUGACUGGAGUUCGGCAGGGGAGACUGGAAUUCCUGGUGUAGCGGUGAAAUGCGCAGAUAUCAGGAGGAACACCGGUGGCGAAGGCGGGUCUCUGGGCCGAUACUGACGCUGAGGAGCGAAAGCGUGGGGAGCGAACAGG